Non-coding RNA from Gossypium hirsutum (cotton), 142 nucleotides. The record is from Rfam. NCBI's taxonomy places the organism in Eukaryota, Viridiplantae, Streptophyta, Magnoliopsida, Malvales, Malvaceae.
UAUCAAAAAUUUCAUCUAUUUGUACUAUUAUAAAUUAGCGAUUGAUGGAUAAUCAGAUAAUAACACGUGGCAUGUCAUGUGUACUCCAUGUUAACGCAAAAAGACUAAUUUUUAAUAUUAGAAAUUCAUGAAAUUUUUAACA